GGUUCCUUAGCUUAAUGGUAAAGCGCAUUCUUGAUAAGGAUGUUAGUUGUGGUUCAAGUCCACAAGGAAUCA
Molecule: transfer RNA, 72 nt
Filed under: Acidithiobacillus sp. MC6.1
Lineage: Bacteria; Pseudomonadati; Pseudomonadota; Acidithiobacillia; Acidithiobacillales; Acidithiobacillaceae
Description: tRNA-Ile
Rfam family: tRNA
About the family: Transfer RNA (tRNA) molecules are approximately 80 nucleotides in length. Their secondary structure includes four short double-helical elements and three loops (D, anti-codon, and T loops).
Source: RNAcentral